Molecule: ribosomal RNA, 432 nt
Filed under: uncultured bacterium
Lineage: Bacteria
Description: partial 16S ribosomal RNA
Rfam family: Bacterial small subunit ribosomal RNA
Source: RNAcentral
AACGAACGCUGGCGGCAUGCCUAACACAUGCAAGUCGAACGAGACCUUCGGGUCUAGUGGCGCACGGGUGCGUAACGCGUGGGAACCUGCCCUUAGGUUCGGAAUAACUCCCCGAAAGGGGUGCUAAUACCGGAUAAUGUCUUCGGACCAAAGAUUUAUCGCCUUUGGAUGGGCCCGCGUUGGAUUAGCUAGUUGGUAGGGUAAAAGCCUACCAAGGCGACGAUCCAUAGCUGGUCUGAGAGGAUGAUCAGCCACACUGGGACUGAGACACGGCCCAGACUCCUACGGGAGGCAGCAGUGGGGAAUAUUGGACAAUGGGCGAAAGCCUGAUCCAGCAAUGCCGCGUGAGUGAUGAAGGCCUUAGGGUUCUAAAGCUCUUUUACCCGGGAUGAUAAUGACAGUACCGGGAGAAUAAGCUCCGGCUAACUCCGU